Molecule: ribosomal RNA, 797 nt
Filed under: uncultured bacterium
Lineage: Bacteria
Description: bacterial SSU rRNA
Rfam family: Bacterial small subunit ribosomal RNA
Source: RNAcentral
AGAGUUUGAUCAUGGCUCAGGAUGAACGCUAGCGGCAGGCUUAAUACAUGCAAGUCGAGGGGCAGCAUGAGUGUAGCAAUACAUUUGAUGGCGACCGGCAAACGGGUGCGGAACACGUACACAACCUUCCUUCGAGCGGGGAAUAGCCCAGAGAAAUUUGGAUUAAUACCCCAUAGUAUCCCGGGGCGGCAUCGCUUCGGGAUUAAAGAUUUAUCACUUGAAGAUGGGUGUGCGGCUGAUUAGGUAGUUGGCGGGGUAACGGCCCACCAAGCCUGCGAUCAGUAACUGGUGUGAGAGCACGACCAGUCACACGGGCACUGAGACGCGGGCCCGACUCCUACGGGAGGCAGCAGUAAGGAAUAUUGGUCAAUGGACGAAAGUCUGAACCAGCCAUGCCGCGUGGAGGAUGAAGGCCCUCUGGGUUGUAAACUUCUUUUAUCUGGGAAGAAAAAAGGGAAUUCUUUCCCGUCUGACGGUACCAGAUGAAUAAGCACCGGCUAACUCCGUGCCAGCAGCCGCGGUAAUACGGAGGGUGCAAGCGUUAUCCGGAUUUACUGGGUUUAAAGGGUGCGUAGGUGGGUUGGUAAGUCCGUGGUGAAAUCUCCAAGCUUAACUUGGAAACUGCCAUGGAUACUAUCAGUCUUGAAUACCGUGGAGGUCAGCGGAAUAUGUCAUGUAGCGGUGAAAUGCUUAGAUAUGACAUAGAACACCAAUUGCGAAGGCAGCUGACUACACGAAUAUUGACACUGAGGCACGAAAGCGUGGGGAUCAAACAGGAUUAGAUACCCUAGUAGUCC